RNAcentral lists this non-coding RNA (23 nucleotides) under Drosophila melanogaster (fruit fly). The record is from RNAcentral. Lineage: Eukaryota; Metazoa; Arthropoda; Insecta; Diptera; Drosophilidae.
GAUAUCUUGGAGCAAACAGUUUU